AGAACGAACGCUGGCGGCAUGCCUAAUACAUGCAAGUCGAACGAACUCUUCGGAGUUAGUGGCGCACGGGUGCGUAACGCGUGGGAAUCUGCCCCUUGGUUCGGAAUAACAGUUGGAAACGACUGCUAAUACCGGGAUGAUGACGAAAGUCCAAAGAUUUAUCGCCAAGGGAUGAGCCCGCGUAGGAUUAGCUAGUUGGUGAGGUAAAGGCUCACCAAGGCAACGAUCCUUAGCUGGUCUGAGAGGAUGAUCAGCCACACUGGGACUGAGACACGGCCCAGACUCCUACGGGAGCAGCAGUAGGGAAUAUUGGACAAUGGGCAAAGCCUAGAUCCAGCAAUGCCGCGUGAGUGAUGAAGUCCUUAGGU
RNAcentral lists this ribosomal RNA (368 nucleotides) under uncultured soil bacterium. RNAcentral's name for it is "bacterial SSU rRNA". It matches the Rfam family "Bacterial small subunit ribosomal RNA", at positions 26 to 422 of the family's 1533-position model. The record is from RNAcentral.